UGCGUAGACGGUUAUGUAAGUCGGGUGUGAAAGCCCCGGGCUCAACCUGGGAAUUGCAUUCGAGACUGCAUAGCUAGGGUGCGGAAGAGGGAAGCGGAAUUUCCGGUGUAGCGGUGAAAUGCGUAGAUAUCGGAAGGAACACCAGUGGCGAAAGCGGCUUCCUGGUCCAGCACCGACGUUCAGGCACGAAAGCGUGGGGAGCAAACAGGAUUAGAUACCCUGGUAGUCCACGCCAUAAACGAUGACAACUAGACGUUGAGAGGGUAAGCCUCCCAGUGUCGAAGCUAACGCGAUAAGUUGUCCGCCUGGGGAGUACGGCCGCAAGGUUGAA
Molecule: ribosomal RNA, 331 nt
Filed under: uncultured Pseudomonadota bacterium
Lineage: Bacteria; Pseudomonadati; Pseudomonadota
Description: bacterial SSU rRNA
Rfam family: Bacterial small subunit ribosomal RNA
Source: RNAcentral